This 374-nucleotide ribosomal RNA is filed under the name uncultured organism. RNAcentral's name for it is "partial 16S ribosomal RNA". It matches the Rfam family "Bacterial small subunit ribosomal RNA", at positions 527 to 896 of the family's 1533-position model. The record is from RNAcentral.
GUAGGUGGCAAGCGUUGUCCGGAAUUAUUGGGCGUAAAGCGCGCGCAGGCCGGGUUUUUAAGUCUGAUGUGAAAGCCCACGGGCUCAACCGUGGAGGGUCAUUGGAAACUGGAGAACUUGAGUACAGAAGAGGAAAGCGGAAUUCCACGUGUAGCGGUGAAAUGCGUAGAGAUGUGGAGGAACACCAGUGGCGAAGGCGGCUUUCUGGUCUGUAACUGACGCUGAGGCGCGAAAGCGUGGGGAGCAAACAGGAUUAGAUACCCUGGUAGUCCACGCCGUAAACGAUGAGUGCUAAGUGUUAGGGGGUUUCCGCCCCUUAGUGCUGCAGCUAACGCAUUAAGCACUCCGCCUGGGGAGUACGGCCGCAAAGGCUG